GAGACACCCUUACGGGGCAAGACUUGCUUCAGUGGGGCUUUGGUGCUCACUGAGUCUGCCUCCUGAGUGUGUCCCU
Molecule: microRNA precursor, 76 nt
Filed under: Myotis lucifugus (little brown bat)
Lineage: Eukaryota; Metazoa; Chordata; Mammalia; Chiroptera; Vespertilionidae
Description: mir-9229 microRNA precursor family
Rfam family: mir-9229 microRNA precursor family
Source: Rfam by way of RNAcentral